UACGGAGGGUGCGAGCGUUGUUCGGAAUCACUGGGCGUAAAGGGCGUGUAGGCGGUCCGCUAAGUCUGAUGUGAAAGCCCGGGGCUCACCCCCGGAAGGGCAUUGGAAACUGGCGAACUCGAGUCUCGGAGAGGAAGGUGGAAUUCCUGGUGUAGCGGUGAAAUGCGUAGAUAUCAGGAGGAAUACCGGUGGCGAAGGCGGCCUUCUGGACGAUGACUGACGCUGAGACGCGAAAGCGUGGGGAGCAAACAGG
RNAcentral lists this ribosomal RNA (253 nucleotides) under uncultured bacterium. Its description in RNAcentral is "partial 16S ribosomal RNA". It matches the Rfam family "Bacterial small subunit ribosomal RNA", at positions 524 to 776 of the family's 1533-position model. The record is from RNAcentral.